This 520-nucleotide ribosomal RNA is filed under the name Penicillium citrinum. RNAcentral describes it as "eukaryotic LSU rRNA". The stretch from base 148 to 301 matches the Rfam family "5.8S ribosomal RNA". Lineage: Eukaryota; Fungi; Ascomycota; Eurotiomycetes; Eurotiales; Aspergillaceae. The record is from RNAcentral.
UGUAAACCGGGAUGCGGGGUCCUCGGGGCCCAACCUCCCACCCGUGUUGCCCGAACCUAUGUUGCCUCGGCGGGCCCCGCGCCCGCCGACGGCCCCCCUGAACGCUGUCUGAAGUUGCAGUCUGAGACCUAUAACGAAAUUAGUUAAAACUUUCAACAACGGAUCUCUUGGUUCCGGCAUCGAUGAAGAACGCAGCGAAAUGCGAUAACUAAUGUGAAUUGCAGAAUUCAGUGAAUCAUCGAGUCUUUGAACGCACAUUGCGCCCUCUGGUAUUCCGGAGGGCAUGCCUGUCCGAGCGUCAUUGCUGCCCUCAAGCCCGGCUUGUGUGUUGGGCCCCGUCCCCCCCGCCGGGGGGACGGGCCCGAAAGGCAGCGGCGGCACCGCGUCCGGUCCUCGAGCGUAUGGGGCUUCGUCACCCGCUCUAGUAGGCCCGGCCGGCGCCAGCCGACCCCCAACCUUUAAUUAUCUCAGGUUGACCUCGGAUCAGGUAGGGAUACCCGCUGAACUUAAGCAUAUCAAA